This 253-nucleotide ribosomal RNA is filed under the name uncultured bacterium. RNAcentral describes it as "partial 16S ribosomal RNA". It matches the Rfam family "Bacterial small subunit ribosomal RNA", at positions 524 to 776 of the family's 1533-position model. The record is from RNAcentral.
UACAGAGGGUGCGAGCGUUAAUCGGAAUUACUGGGCGUAAAGCGUGCGCAGACGGUCACGUAAGUCGGGUGUGAAAGCCCCGGGCUCAACCUGGGAAUUGCAUUCGAGACUGCGUGGCUAGGGUGCGGAAGAGGGAAGCGGAAUUUACGGUGUAGCGGUGAAAUGCGUAGAGAUCGGGAGGAAGGCCGGUGGCGAAGGCGGCGCUCUGGAACGUUUCUGACACUGAGGCUCGAAAGCGUGGGGAGCAAACAGG